UAUAUAUAUAUAUAUAUAUAUAUAUGUAUAUAUAAAUAUAAAAACAAAUUAUAUAUAUAUAAAUAUAAAAAUAAAUUAUAUAUAAUCUGCUCCGUGAUUGACUGGAACAAGAUCAUAAACACACGAGAGCAGAGCAGUUUAAUAUGACACUACUGUAGAUUAAAUACUUUUGCCCUGCAGUACAUGUGAAUUCAUGAGGGAUCCCUCAAUCAUCAUAAUAUGCUAGCUCAAAAUCAUCGUUUAUUUGUAACAUACAAUUUAUAUAUACUAAUUUAAGUUAUGUAUUUUUUUUUAGAUAUAUAGAAUGUAUUUAAAAUUAUGUACACACAUAGAACAAUUGUGAAACUGAUUAAUAAUAUGUCUACGUAACGUAUCGGGAUGUUUCUUUUGUUUUGUGUUAUUUCAAUAAUUUACUACUCAUGAAUUAUUAUAAUAAUAAUAAUAAUAAUAAUAAUAAUAAUAAUAAUAAUAAUAAUAAUAAUUUAUUUGCCACAAUUUUAUCAUUAACUGAGUUCCUUUUUACUGUAUUAAUACAUAGAAAUUGAAUAACAUACUGUACCGAAUUGAAUUCAAUAAUAACUCAUUUAAUUGUUUUAGAGGCUUAAAGGUGAGAAUUACAGUCAACAUAUUUACCCUGCAAUUCGUUAAUAAUAUUCAUAUCCGUGUUUACGAAGAGCUAUCACAGCAUCUACCGACUAAAAUACAAUUUCUAAAGCGUUUGUGUACAGAUAUAUAAUUAUAAUGGGCAUAGUAUAACUAGGAAGUACCGGUAGUCAUUUUACCCUGGUAUAACAUAGAAAUAGGAAAUAGUGUAUAAAAUGGCGAAUUAUAGAGAUGUAUAUUAAUAUUUGUGUCUACUUAGCAGUUUAUAAUUGUAAAUGUGAAUAUUCUAAUGAUAUUUCAGAAUAUGUUCAAAAAAAUGAAUAUACUAUAAUAAAUAUUUAAUAUCAAAAUGGCAGUUAAAAAUAUUAGACCCUUAAAUCUGUUAAUGAAAUUCAUGUCAAUGUUUACAAAGCGCUAAGCUUUCAUUAUCCAUCAUAUAUUCGUAAAACAGCAAGUAAAGGUAUCAGCAAUGGCGCUGUCAUUGGUGGCGAAGAUUCUUUUUGUUUCAUUAAACUACAGUUUGAUUCUAAGUUUGGAAUGCCAAGGCAAAGAAAGAGUUGAUGCUUUGGAAACACACGACUGUCUGCGUACCUGUGAAUAUCCUGCAAAACCGAAAGUAUGUGAAUAUGUAUUCUCAGCAAAAUGGUUCUACUCCAUGUCUUCAUACUGCUUCGAUUGUCCAGUAAUGUUGGACGACUGCUACUUAGAAGAAUGUGUAGCGCUUGACGGUUCCGCUCGACCAGUUGUCGUCACCAACAGCACGAUACCCGGACCGAGCAUUCAGGUGUGUGAAGGUGAUACAGUUCGAGUGAAAUUGGUUAAUAAUCUACAAGACCACGGUGCCUUGACAAUCCAUUGGUAUGGAAUACAUCAAGUCGGUACAAACUGGAUGGACGGUGCAUCCAUGAUAACACAAUGUCCAGUUGUGUCUUCGUCUUCAUUUACCUAUGAAUUUAAAGCAGACCCGGCAGGGACCCAUUGGUGGCACGCCCAUUCUGGUUACCAGAGGGAUGAUGGUAUGUACGGUUCAUUGAUUGUAAGGCAAGCGAGGGAAGUUGAACAUAAUGGAUAUGCCUAUGAUUUUGAUCUUCCGGAGCAUGUGGUGAUGUUGGCGGACUGGAAGAGUCGACCCGCCAUGAGUACAUUUUUGAUGACGGAAAGUCCCACCAGAUACGUCAUACCAGAAGAACAAACAUUUUCAAUAUUAGUGAAUGGAAGGGCGAAGGAAGUUCCAUUUAAUGAUGAGUAUGGAGAGACCUACUUCACACCACUUUCAAGUUUUAAAGUUGAAGAAGGUAUGACGUACCGUUUUCGGGUGAUCAGCGCGGCUUUUGCUUUGUGUAAUUUACAAGUAUCAAUUGAAUCACAUCCUCUGACUAUCAUCGCAGUAGAUGGAUCUGAAGUGAGACCCAAAGAAGUAGAUUCCUUCGUUAUAGCUCCAGGAGAAAGAUAUGACUUCCUGUUGAAAGCAACUGCUAAGCCAGCAUCUUACUGUAUAUUUUUAGCUGGAACCUCAUCUACCGAGUGUGUUGAUGACGGAGUUGCCAUGUUACAGUACAGUACUGGUUCAAAAGAAGAACUUUCAUGCUUGCCGGUUCCAGAAGUCCCCGCGCAACUUACAGAUACAGCGAUAUUUUCAGUACUGGAAUCAUACCCGCUUGAUUACUUUGAUGAAGAUCUACAUAGUGUAGAUGCCAAAUAUUACAUCUCGUUGUCUUUACUACGGACGACAUAUUUCAGCGAUGACGGACGGCCAUUAGAUAGUGGUGUACUUUCAAAUUUCCAAAUCGAUAAUGUCAACUUUAUCUACCCGAAUGCUCCUAUUCUGUCAAAUAAGCAAGCAAACAUAGAAACCUGUCAUCCGAAUCAGGACAGUUCCUUCUAUGACAAAUGUGCCGAAGAGGUGUGUGACUGCACCAAUGUUUUAAAGCUGCCGCUUGGACAGGCUUGCUGUCCCGAAUUUCACCCGCAAAUGCUGUCAUCAAAGACACUGUAAAUGUUCCAGGUUUCGGCUACGUCAUCAUAAGGUGGAAGACGGAGAAUCCAGGAUAUUGGUUUUUCCAUUGCCAAACCAACAGCCAUUUAGAAACUGGACAAGGCACAAUUCUCCAAAUCGGCGAGACUGAUGAAAUUCCAGCAGCCCCUGAGGAUUUUCCAAACUGUGGGCCGUGGCCUUCAAAUUAAUAAUUAGGACGAUUAUCAUUGGAAAAGUGGAAAAUAGGCCAGCUUGAAGUAUGCCUAUGUUUUUAGAACUGAUUGUCUAAAGUAAAUAUAAAAUUUGCAAUAUGGCUUACACAAUUUAUCUUUUAUAGUUGUUUCUAUCAUUUCAUCAACAAGGUAACUCCAAUAACAGUCUCAUUAUAAUGCUUGCUUAGGGAAUUGACGGUGUAUAUUAUCAAAUAAUAAAAUUAAUAACUUGAACAGCAACUGAACCUAGAACUUUGGGACUGGAAGGCAAGCAUCUUAAUUACCAAGUUAAAGCUCCACUUUUAAAUCCAUAUUAUUUUUGUAUCAUUCAAGACCAAAAUAAUCAUCGUGAAACAUAAACCUAAAUAUAAAAGAUUACAAAAAAUAAACAAAGUUUACACAACCCAUGCCCACCGUAUUCAGGGAUAACUUUGUAUAAAUAUCAUCUAUUUAUUGGGUUUUUUUCUCUAAUUUACAUAUUCCACUCAUUUGUUGUUUGAAUUAAUUAUGUAUUAAUCUAUACGAGUAAAUGCAUAAGUCUGUACCAUAUGUUUGGAUAAUUUCAAAUGGUAGUAUUAAACAUAGUGAUACUACAUGUAGAUGAUCACGUGAUCAUACCAGUAUAAUUGCCAAACAGUAAAUAAAUGUAAAUUGCAUCAGUGCCUUCAUAUUAUCUGUUAUUAUCUGUUUAUAAGCGGCGAAUAUAAGCUGGACAACGUUCAUAACAUCUUUACUUUUAGGUUUUUAUUUAACCUACCUGUUCAUUUAUGUAAAAAUUCUUCUGAUCUAUCAUGAGAGAAGUUCCUUGUUUUGGGCAUAGGCCCUUUGCCACCAGGUCAUUUGCCACCUGGCCAUUUACCACCAGGCCUUUUACCACCCGGUCUUUUGCCACCGAGGGGAAAUGAAUUCAGGUAAUAAAAGGCCAAUUGGUAAACUACCGAAUGUGAAAUUGCCGUGUGUUAAAUGACCGGAUGUCGACACAGGCCUCAAGGUGGCAAAAGACCAGUUGGCAAAAGUACGUGUGGAAAAUUGCCUUGUGGUAAAUGUCUGGAUGAAAAAAUCAUAUAUUCGCUUAUCGCUUAUUUAAUUGAAACGGGUAAAUUUUGUGUUGCAGUAAUGGUUAUUGGGAUCACAGAAUUCAAUUAGAGACGAAAAAGCUAGGACAGCAAUCAUAUUGAAAUUCAAGAUGACCGCCUCGAAAUAUCAAUUUUUUAAAAUAUAAUAUUUUGUAGGAUAGUUGUUGAACGCCGCCAGUCUAUUUCAGUAUUUUUCUUUUUAUGUGUACAUAAUAUGGGUGAUGUCCCCACUUGUUAUAGGGUACCCACUUUAUUUUUCACAUACUGAACUCAAAAAGCAAAUUGUGCCAAAAUCGUAGUAAAUUUUGCUAUAUUUAUAACGCAAAUUUUAAUUCCACAACCCCUCUGUAAGUGUUGCCGAAACUGUACAGUUUAUACUUUUUAGCGACCCUUUCUUAGUAUGCUUAGUUUUUCCAUUUUUACGGUUCCUUAAUUUUUGGGUCUCAAAUGAUAAAGUUGGGGAAAAUAUUUCAAUAACUCGACGUUUCACCUGAUCGCUUAUUAUGUCUUCAUAGCUGUCGUAAACAUGAGAAUAAUAAGAGGCUUAUACGUGGCCAAACCUACAAAAAUGGCACAAAAAGGCAAAAAAA
Molecule: unclassified non-coding RNA, 4456 nt
Filed under: Anneissia japonica
Lineage: Eukaryota; Metazoa; Echinodermata; Crinoidea; Comatulida; Comatulidae
Description: laccase-5-like, transcript variant X1
Source: RNAcentral